AUCUGCAUUUUCAAAAAGAUUCAAUCACAUUCACUUACACUUUCAGAACUGCUUCAGCAGUGUACAUCUACAUCUAUACAAGCUUUUCAAGAUCUGAUAAAGCAGAUAAGUCAAUGUCAUCAUUGACUUUCAGUUGAUAUUAAAAAAAUUCUCUGCACUGAGAAGAAUAUUGCUCUGAACAGAGAGAUUCUCUUAAUAGAGAAUAAGAAUCUUCAGACUGCUCUAAAUAAUGAGAGAAGACAAUACAAACAGAGUAAGUGUAUAAGAUUGCUUAAUUCAUCAAAUCCCUCACUUACUCAAUUCUUUUCUCUCACAAAGGUGCAGACUGCAAAGAAGCAAGCAGAGGCUAAUGAAACUGCAAAAAUCAAUGAUCAGACACACAAGAAGAAUAUGAAGCUUCAAUGAGCAAUUCUUCAUAAACAAAAACAGACAGAGCUCAUGAAGUGGAAGAAACAAUAUGAAAAGAAACAUUUAGAAGCUGCUCAAUGCUAUGAGAAGAUCAAAGCUGCAGCUGCAGCUAAACAUUGUAUAGAGAAGCAACAGUGAGAUGAACAGAAGCUUCAACUGCAAAAAGAGAAGAAAGAACAUACUGCUAAACAUCAUGAAGCACAGUUGACAAAGAAGACACUCACAGAGAUCUCAAAGAGAUCUACAAAAAGAUCAACAGUGAGCUCAAAACAUCAUAGAAGCUCUAUACAAUCUUCUAAAAGCAGUAAUAAAUGCUGUAUACAGACUCUCUCAGUGGAAUCAAAUGAUAUUCCUUCUUUGAAACCUUCUACACUGUGAUCCAAUUCAACCAUUUCAAAACCAUG
RNAcentral lists this small RNA (812 nucleotides) under Histoplasma ohiense. RNAcentral's name for it is "hypothetical lncRNA". Lineage: Eukaryota; Fungi; Ascomycota; Eurotiomycetes; Onygenales; Ajellomycetaceae. The record is from RNAcentral.